GGGCCGGUAGACCAGCCUGGAAAUGAAGACGAUCAACAGACUGAUCGCCGCCUUGGCAUGGCGGAAGCCCGGGGUUCAAAUCCCCGCCGGUCCACCA
This 97-nucleotide transfer RNA is filed under the name miscellaneous Crenarchaeota group archaeon SMTZ1-55. RNAcentral describes it as "tRNA-Ala". The stretch from base 31 to 86 matches the Rfam family "tRNA", at positions 10 to 63 of the family's 71-position model. Rfam says of the family: Transfer RNA (tRNA) molecules are approximately 80 nucleotides in length. Their secondary structure includes four short double-helical elements and three loops (D, anti-codon, and T loops). Further hydrogen bonds mediate the characteristic L-shaped molecular structure. tRNAs have two regions of fundamental functional importance: the anti-codon, which is responsible for specific mRNA codon recognition, and the 3' end, to which the tRNAs corresponding amino acid is attached (by aminoacyl-tRNA synthetases). tRNAs cope with the degeneracy of the genetic code in two manners: having more than one tRNA (with a specific anti-codon) for a particular amino acid; and 'wobble' base-pairing, i.e. permitting non-standard base-pairing at the 3rd anti-codon position. The record is from RNAcentral. Lineage: Archaea; Thermoproteati; Candidatus Bathyarchaeota.